CGCGGCCUAUCAGCUUGUUGGUGAGGUAACGGCCCACCAAGGCAUCGACGGGUAGCUGGUCUGAGAGGAUGAUCAGCCACACUGGGACUGAGACACGGCCCAGACUCCUACGGGAGGCAGCAGUAGGGAAUCUUGCGCAAUGGGCGAAAGCCUGACGCAGCAACGCCGCGUGGGGGAUGAAUGCCUUCGGGUUGUAAACCCCUUUCAGCAGGGACGAAAAUGACGGUACCUGCAGAAGAAGCUCCGGCCAACUACGUGCCAGCAGCCGCGGUAAUACGUAGGGAGCGAGCGUUGUCCGGAAUUAUUGGGCGUAAAGAGCUCGUAGGCGGUUCAGUAAGUCGGGUGUGAAAACUCAAGGCUCAACCUUGAGACGCCACUCGAUACUGCUGUGACUUGAGUCCGGUAGAGGAGUGUGGAAUUCCUGGUGUAGCGGUGAAAUGCGCAGAUAUCAGGAGGAACACCAGCGGCGAAGGCGGCACUCUGGGCCGGUACUGACGCUGAGGAGCGAAAGCAUGGGGAGCAAACAGGAUUAGAUACCCUGGUAGUCCAUGCCGUAAACGUUGGGCACUAGGUAUG
This 576-nucleotide ribosomal RNA is filed under the name uncultured Actinomycetes bacterium. RNAcentral's name for it is "bacterial SSU rRNA". It matches the Rfam family "Bacterial small subunit ribosomal RNA", at positions 232 to 824 of the family's 1533-position model. The record is from RNAcentral. Lineage: Bacteria; Bacillati; Actinomycetota; Actinomycetes.